GCCCAGGUGGCGGAAUUGGCAGACGCGCCGGAUUCAAAAUCCGGUUCCCGCGAGGGAGUGAGGGUUCGACCCCCUCUCUGGGUACCA
Molecule: transfer RNA, 87 nt
Filed under: Opitutia bacterium
Lineage: Bacteria; Pseudomonadati; Verrucomicrobiota; Opitutia
Description: tRNA-Leu
Rfam family: tRNA
About the family: Transfer RNA (tRNA) molecules are approximately 80 nucleotides in length.
Source: RNAcentral